This 1502-nucleotide long non-coding RNA is filed under the name Bemisia tabaci. RNAcentral describes it as "lncRNA ENSASIAIIG006165". The record is from RNAcentral. Lineage: Eukaryota; Metazoa; Arthropoda; Insecta; Hemiptera; Aleyrodidae.
AAGCCUGUGAGAACACGUGAAUGCAAAGCUUAGCGCUGUCGAUGCAUGAAAGACUAGAUUGAUUUCUGAAGCUCUCAAUACGUGAUUAAGUAACCCAAUACCUCGGCGCAAGCGAACGCAUUUUUGCAUUCCCUUUGCUGGCAUGGCGAGGUGCGCACGUGGUGGUGAAACAAGUCAAGGGACUCCUGAACUUCACUAACCUCCACAACAAGGUGAAGUAAACGUCAAAUUGGGAGGCAACGUGGUGUUUUAGCAUUUUGACCUCAACAAAGUGCGAAUGAGUUGACUUUUUCAUUAAAACAGCUUUCGACGGUUCAAAUUAUGAGUGAGGCGAUCCUGCUUUGCGUCUUGCCACCGACACAAUUCAGUCAAAAUUUGCCGCAGUAGAAAGAUGUCGCCUUGAUCUAAGCUUAUCAGAAUCAAAAUAAAAUCUAAGCACAGAGAUUAAAAAAUCGUUGUUUUUAGAUUGCUCACAGAAGGUUCCUGCUGGUCCUAUCUACUUUUCUGGUCGUAGUUACAAGGUAACUUUUGUGGUUAUGAUUUCAGUCUCAGUAACAAUCCGACCCGGCCGGCAUUAUUAUCAGGAUCGAAUUAUUGUUACCACGAGGUACAAUGUAAUGUGCAAUGUACAAUGUAAGUAGGUAGGGCCUAAAGUAAACCAUGAGCUUUGUAAGAACAAUGAUUCUUUUCCCUAUGAAUGCAUCCUCGUCAGAAAAGGAGUGAAUCUAGUCAGGUAUGCAGAGGGGUAAUCAACACAUCUCUCCAAUGAACCAAUACUAGAUCGUAUAAAAGUAUACUGGGUUGAAGUAUGUUUUAGGUAUGAUAUGCAUGAAUAUAAUUAUUGUAAAAUAAUUGUCCUGGAAUAGGUGAUAUUACUUACUAGAUAUGAUGUGCACUAUACUAUUCUGAAAAAUUUUCCGAAAAAACUAUCAUGCAAUUGUUUUUGUCUUGUUUCCGAUGCAGCCGCACCCCCAGAAGAUGAUAAAUCAAAUGCAGAUUAUCCUUUCAAAGAAGAGGAUGCUGUCUUCGAGUUCUGCGAAGGGAAUUUAAACUUCGCUACAGGAGCAGUGAACGAUAAUGACGAGUUCGGCUACAAUAGGAAGAAAAUCACAAGAGUAAGUCAAUUCUACUCAUUUUAUCAGUAGAGUUGGGUCAACGAAUUCUUUUACAGAAUCGUAUUUGGUGAUUGGUUCUGAUCGAUCAACAAAAUAGAAAAUCACUGACUAAAAACCAUUUUUUUCGUCGAAGAUUAACGACCCUGGUAGCACAGAUCAGAUUGAAGAUGUUUUUAAAAUGUGUCAUUGAUCCGAAAAAAUUUCUUUAAAACAUUUCAAUGAAACAUCUUGAAAACAUAUCAUGUGUCCAGACGGUUUUGAAUAGGUUUCUAAAACAACUCUAUGUCACCCCUAAAUUUUGUUUCACAGAUACGUCCGAUAGAUGUUUCUCAUACCUUUACAACACAUCUCAGUGAGGUAUCGGCACCACAAAUUCGUCGCAGAAAU